CCUACGGGAGGCAGCAGUGAGGAAUAUUGGUCAAUGGCCGAGAGGCUGAACCAGCCAAGUCGCGUGAGGGAAGACGGCCCUACGGGUUGUAAACCUCUUUUGUCGGGGAGCAAAGCGAGUCACGUGUGACUCAUUGAGAGUACCCGAAGAAAAAGCAUCGGCUAACUCCGUGCCAGCAGCCGCGGUAAUACGGAGGAUGCGAGCGUUAUCCGGAUUUAUUGGGUUUAAAGGGUGCGCAGGCGGAGGUGCAAGUCAGCGGUAAAAUUGCGGGGCGCAACCCCGUACUGCCGUUGAAACUGCAUCCCUUGAGGGCGCGAGAAGUAUGCGGAAGGCGUGGUGUAGCGGUGAAAGGCAUAGAUAUCA
Molecule: ribosomal RNA, 363 nt
Filed under: uncultured bacterium
Lineage: Bacteria
Description: partial 16S ribosomal RNA
Rfam family: Bacterial small subunit ribosomal RNA
Source: RNAcentral